CCCACUGCUAUCGAGGUGGGACUAAGCCAUGCUAGUCGAACGACCCGAACUAUGUCGGGUAGUGGCAUACUGCUCAGUAACACAUAGCUAACUUUCCCUUAGGACGGGAGCAACCCCGGGAAACUGGGGUUAAUGCCCGAUAGGUGUGGAGGCCUGGAAUGGUUCCACACUGAAAAGUACUUUGUACAUGUUCAUGGUAUGCCUAAGGAUGGGGCUGUGGCCGAUCAGGCUGUUGGUGAGGUAAUGGCUCACCAAACCUUUGACCGGUACGGGCCAUGAGAGUGGUAGCCCGGAGAUGGGUACUGAGACAAGGACCCAGGCCCUACGGGGCGCAGCAGUCGCGAAAACUCCGCAAUGCACGAAAGUGUGACGGGGCUACCCCGAGUGCUCUCCGCUGAGGAAAGCUUUUCUCUGGUGUAACAAGCCAGGGGAAUAAGGAGAGGGCAAGACUGGUGUCAGCCGCCGCGGUAAUACCAGCUCUCCGAGUGGUAGGGAUGAUUAUUGGGCUUAAAGCGUCCGUAGCCGGCUUAGCAAGUCUCCUGUUAAAUUCAGCGACCUAAUCGUUGAGCCGCGGGAGAUACUACUAGGCUAGGAGGCGGGAGAGGUCAACGGUACUUCCGGGGUAGGGGUGAAAUCCUAUAAUCCCGGGAGGACCACCAGUGGCGAAGGCUGUUGACUAGAACGCGCUCGACGGUGAAGGACGAAAGCUGGGGGAGCGAACCGGAUUAGAUACCCGGGUAGUCCCAGCUGUAAACGAUGCGAGCUAGGUGU
This 771-nucleotide ribosomal RNA is filed under the name uncultured crenarchaeote. RNAcentral's name for it is "bacterial SSU rRNA". It matches the Rfam family "Archaeal small subunit ribosomal RNA", at positions 23 to 774 of the family's 1478-position model. The record is from RNAcentral. Lineage: Archaea; Thermoproteati; Thermoproteota.